GGGCACGUGGCGAAAUUGGUAAACACGCACGCUUCAGAAGCGUGUGCCGCAAGGCUUGGGAGUUCGAGUCUCCCCGUGCCCA
This 82-nucleotide transfer RNA is filed under the name bacterium. Its description in RNAcentral is "tRNA-Leu". It matches the Rfam family "tRNA". From Rfam's summary of the family: Transfer RNA (tRNA) molecules are approximately 80 nucleotides in length. Their secondary structure includes four short double-helical elements and three loops (D, anti-codon, and T loops). Further hydrogen bonds mediate the characteristic L-shaped molecular structure. tRNAs have two regions of fundamental functional importance: the anti-codon, which is responsible for specific mRNA codon recognition, and the 3' end, to which the tRNAs corresponding amino acid is attached (by aminoacyl-tRNA synthetases). tRNAs cope with the degeneracy of the genetic code in two manners: having more than one tRNA (with a specific anti-codon) for a particular amino acid; and 'wobble' base-pairing, i.e. permitting non-standard base-pairing at the 3rd anti-codon position. The record is from RNAcentral.